This is a long non-coding RNA of Alosa alosa (allis shad), 289 nucleotides long. RefSeq lists it as uncharacterized. The record is from RefSeq and is a predicted model, not a curated record. The transcript is spliced from 2 exons. Lineage: Eukaryota; Metazoa; Chordata; Actinopteri; Clupeiformes; Clupeidae.
UUUUAUGAUGUCCCUGUCAUGUACAAAAGUAGGAGGGAACAGAGAAAUGCUCAGACUGCAGUUCUUUCGAGGGCCAGGCGCAGGGGACACUGAAAAGAGGGCCCACUGACACAAUGGAUCGACUCACCGGCUCAUAAUAAACUUCCUGAUUGCCUGUAGUCCAUUGCCCCCCACCCGUGCGUUUGCAUGGAGGACUUUUCUUUUUUCUUCCCCACACUUGGCUCGGCUUUGUGUAUCUUUAUUAUGUCUCGUGGUGUGUUUUUGUCCAUAAAGGCAUACCUGCGCUUUC